Molecule: ribosomal RNA, 253 nt
Filed under: uncultured bacterium
Lineage: Bacteria
Description: partial 16S ribosomal RNA
Rfam family: Bacterial small subunit ribosomal RNA
Source: RNAcentral
UACGAAGGGGGCUAGCGUUGCUCGGAAUCACUGGGCGUAAAGCGCACGUAGGCGGAUUGUUAAGUCAGGGGUGAAAUCCUGGAGCUCAACUCCAGAACUGCCUUUGAUACUGGCGAUCUCGAGUCCGGGAGAGGAGAGUGGAACUGCGAGUGUAGAGGUGAAAUUCGUAGAUAUUCGCAAGAACACCAGUGGCGAAGGCGGCUCACUGGCCCGGUACUGACGCUGAGGUGCGAAAGCGUGGGGAGCAAACAGG